GUUAGGUUUUGCUUCUUUUUGCCACCUCAAACUUGCAUUAUCCCAUAAUAUCAUCAAACUAUACCUAUCCGGUAUACAACAUCACAUGUUGAACAUAUUUCCAAACAAACACAGCUUUAUGUCUUCAUACCAGAUUAAAACCAUACUCAGAGGCAUUCAGAGAUCCGGACACGCUCAAACACACAAGAGAUUACGCAUCGACAUCCAACUAUUUCAUUCUCUGUCAGACCUAUUAGAUGCUUGUCCCUUCAAUCAACACACCAACCUAAUAAUAAAAACUGCAAUAUACCUG
This is a non-coding RNA of Pelobates cultripes (western spadefoot toad), 292 nucleotides long. The record is from the annotation of a GenBank genome assembly. Lineage: Eukaryota; Metazoa; Chordata; Amphibia; Anura; Pelobatidae.